RNAcentral lists this small RNA (97 nucleotides) under Sinorhizobium meliloti 2011. RNAcentral describes it as "putative ncRNA". Lineage: Bacteria; Pseudomonadati; Pseudomonadota; Alphaproteobacteria; Hyphomicrobiales; Rhizobiaceae. The record is from RNAcentral.
GGACCCCGGCGCGGCAAGCGGCGCGCCGCCCGUUCCGAAGAAAACUUGGGCCAACAGAAUUGUUUCCAUUUGGACAGGAAAGGCUCUAAAACCGGCC